AGAAAGAAUAGGAAUCCAAGAAGGAGUUUCUCUGAACCAAUAUCAACGUCAGAAUAUGAGACGAGUGGUUCAGACUCAGAUUCCUCUAAAGCGAGUACGUCUGCCUCAUCAGAACGUAAUUCAAAAAGUAUAUUAAAAAGAGGGGUCUCUUUUUUAGGCCAACCCAAUAUGGAAGAAAGUACAGCCCCACGGACAAGGUACAGAGGCAGACCACCCCAACCCUUC
This is a non-coding RNA of Pelobates cultripes (western spadefoot toad), 225 nucleotides long. The record is from the annotation of a GenBank genome assembly. Lineage: Eukaryota; Metazoa; Chordata; Amphibia; Anura; Pelobatidae.